RNAcentral lists this ribosomal RNA (450 nucleotides) under uncultured bacterium. RNAcentral describes it as "partial 16S ribosomal RNA". It matches the Rfam family "Bacterial small subunit ribosomal RNA", at positions 354 to 796 of the family's 1533-position model. The record is from RNAcentral.
GUGGGGAAUAUUGGACAAUGGGCGAAAGCCUGAUCCAGCCAUGCCGCGUGUGUGAAGAAGGUCUUCGGAUUGUAAAGCACUUUAAGUUGGGAGGAAGGGUAGUAACCUAAUACGUUGCUACUUUGACGUUACCGACAGAAUAAGCACCGGCUAACUUCGUGCCAGCAGCCGCGGUAAUACGAAGGGUGCAAGCGUUAAUCGGAAUUACUGGGCGUAAAGCGCGCGUAGGUGGUUCAGUAAGUUGGAGGUGAAAUCCCCGGGCUCAACCUGGGAACUGCCUCCAAAACUGCAUGACUAGAGUACGGUAGAGGGUAGUGGAAUUUCCUGUGUAGCGGUGAAAUGCGUAGAUAUAGGAAGGAACACCAGUGGCGAAGGCGACUACCUGGACUGAUACUGACACUGAGGUGCGAAAGCGUGGGGAGCAAACAGGAUUAGAAACCCCAGUAGUCC